CCUACGGGUGACAGCAGUGGGGGAUAUUGCACAAUGGGGGAAACCCUGAUGCAGCGACGCCGCGUGUAGGAAGAAGGUCCUCUGGAUUGUAAACUACUGUCCCCAGGGACGAAGAUGACGGUACCUGGGGAGGAAGCUCCGGCUAACUACGUGCCAGAAGCCGCGGUAAUACGUGGGGAGCGAGCGUUGUCCGGAAUUCCUGGGUGAAAAGGGAGCGUAGGGGGGGAUGCAAGUUGGGUGUUAAAUCUACUGGCUCAACUGGUAGUCGCACUCAAAACUGCAGCUCUUGAGUGAAGUAGAGGCAGGCGGAAUUCCUAGUGUAGCGGUGAAAUGCGUAGAUAUUAGGAGGAACACCAGUGGCGAAGGCGGCCUGCUGGGCUUUUACUGACGCUGAGGCUCGAAAGUGUGGGGAGCAAACAGGAUUAGAUACCCUUGUAGUC
Molecule: ribosomal RNA, 440 nt
Filed under: uncultured bacterium
Lineage: Bacteria
Description: partial 16S ribosomal RNA
Rfam family: Bacterial small subunit ribosomal RNA
Source: RNAcentral